AGAUUGAACGCUGGCGGCAUGCCUAACACAUGCAAGUCGAACGGGAGUAGCAAUACUCUAGUGGCGGACGGGUGAGGAAUACGUAGGAAUUUGCCCUUAAGUGGGGGAUAACCCGGGGAAACCCGGAUUAAUACCGCAUGACCUCGAAAGAGCAAAGUGGGGGAUCGCAAGACCUCACGCUUUUGGAGAAGCCUACGUCGGAUUAGCUAGUUGGUGAGGUAAUGGCUCACC
This 231-nucleotide ribosomal RNA is filed under the name uncultured soil bacterium. Its description in RNAcentral is "partial 16S ribosomal RNA". It matches the Rfam family "Bacterial small subunit ribosomal RNA", at positions 26 to 269 of the family's 1533-position model. The record is from RNAcentral.